AACUUUCAACAACGGAUCUCUUGGCUCUCGCAUCGAUGAAGAACGCAGCGAAAUGCGAUAAGUAAUGUGAAUUGCAGAAUUCAGUGAAUCAUCGAAUCUUUGAACGCACCUUGCGCCCUUUGGUAUUCCGAAGGGCAUGCCUGUUUGAGUGUCAU
Molecule: ribosomal RNA, 155 nt
Filed under: Tremella giraffa
Lineage: Eukaryota; Fungi; Basidiomycota; Tremellomycetes; Tremellales; Tremellaceae
Also listed under: 1 other name
Description: 5.8S ribosomal RNA
Rfam family: 5.8S ribosomal RNA
About the family: 5.8S ribosomal RNA (5.8S rRNA) is a component of the large subunit of the eukaryotic ribosome.
Source: RNAcentral